Echinostoma caproni is the source of this 45-nucleotide non-coding RNA. The record is from Rfam. Lineage: Eukaryota; Metazoa; Platyhelminthes; Trematoda; Plagiorchiida; Echinostomatidae.
GUACUGCUGACGAGUCCCAAGCAGGACGAAACAGUUGUCCAGUGC